This 154-nucleotide unclassified non-coding RNA is filed under the name uncultured fungus. RNAcentral's name for it is "sequence contains ITS1". The record is from RNAcentral. Lineage: Eukaryota; Fungi.
CAAGAGUUUACAGACUCAAAAACCACUGUUUAUCUACCUCUGUUGCUUCGACAGGCGGCCCCAGGGCGGGGCCUCUAGCCUGUAAGGCGCCUGCCGAAGAAUUUUUUAAACUCGGUAUUUUAAGGACUAUCAGUUUUAAACGAAAAAAUAAUAA